UUGCAGCUGCUGCAUUUGGCCUUGUUCUCGUUUGCUGUAACCAAAGACUUUGCCACCCUGCUAUUAUUGCAGUACUUUCCAUCCCAUUAUAGCAUUACCAUCCCCAUUUCCCCAGUAGGAAAACUGAUUCACUGGCAGGGGUUUAGUGGGCAUGGUGGGGAUGGGGUGAUGGCUGGCCUGGAUGAUCUUAGCUGUCUUCUACAACCUUAAUGAUUCUAUGACUUGUCUGGAGUUAGAAAGGCCAGUGGAAGUGCUGGCAGAUCCUUAAUUUAUUUAAACACUCUUGAGACUUGUGCAGGUGCAAACUGUGUUUGCACAUUUCACGUGUUAUCCCCAGGGAGCAAUCCCAGUGCCGUACCCAAGGCUAGAAUUGAGCCAGAUGUGCUUAUGUACCUAUAAUAGGAGGGCUUGCAAUGCUUUUUCAAUUCCAGAUGCUUGCUUUGAGAGACACAUUUGGAUUUGCACCUCCUGAGCUUGGGUACUUUCCUCUUGGAAGCAUUUCUUAUCAGUAACAAUGGCAAGGAGACCAAUGAUAUCUGUUCUGUAGUCCUUGCAAUCCAGCAUGGUCAGACCCCAGCCACCCCCCAAAGCAAUAACCUUGGUGUGAUAGCUCCCAUGGGAAGCAGCAUAGAUAACUGUACACCUGCUGGGGUCUACAGCCCAGAAAUGUCCCAUAUUUUUGGAUAAUGAUUUUACACAGUCAUUGCUGCACCUACCCAACAGCUAGGACAAACCUGCCUUGCUUCAGGUAUAUGGUGUGUCAAUAUCUCUGCUGAGAAAUGCUUAUUUCUCCUCAUUUAAGAGGAGGUGUCAUAGAUUCUUGAGACACUGGAGAGAGAAAAGCAAUCACAAACCCAUGGAUUGGGUGAAGACACUCUAGGAAAAAGCCCUCCCCAUGCAUGAAAGCUUAUCUCCUUCUGGUCCCCAGUGAGAUACAGUAAUAGGAGAACUCAGAGAAGUUCUUACCCAGAGAAGUUGUGGAUAUCCCAUCCCUGGAGGUGUUCAAGGUCGGGUUGGAUGGGGCCCUGGGCAGCCUGAUCUGGUGCCUGAUCUAGUGGUUGGCAGCCCCCCUGAUGGUGGGGUGCUGGGACUGGAUGAUCUCAGAGGUCAAUGCCAACCCAAGCCAUUCUAAGAUUCUAUGACCUCACAGCCACAUCUGUGCCUUCCAGACACAUUCACAUCUCUGUAGAAACCAAGGGGAUUUAUGUGCAUAACGGCCUUCUUGUUUCUGGCCAAAGCCAGGGCUUUUACAAAGAUUUUCUUCUAAUUGGCUUUCAGCACAAUGCCAUCCAAAGCCCAUUGGGCACCCUGGGAAAAGGAUCGUGAAACUCUGGGCUCUUGAUGGAUUUGAGUAUCCAAGCACAUUGCCCCAGAGGACUGACUCUGCUCAGGUCUCUAAAAACUGACUUAGUUAACACCAGAAAGAUGAGAAAAUCUUUCCCUGCUGAAACAUGGCUUAAAUGGCAGCGAUUGUGCUCUUCUCGAUGGUGUUGGGGAUGGUGAUUGUGGGGUAUUGGGGCAGGAAAAGCUCUAUGAUUAAGUGAUUGAACUGAAGAAAAGCAUUUUGGGACCUAUCUGAAAGAUAAGGACAGAGAGGAGGGAUCUCUCCAUUCUGAACCUUAAGAGGAAUCUGGAAGUUGAAGACGAAAGAGAAAGGAAGGAGCCCCAUGUGAUAGGACGCAGUUACACUCCCACAGGGUUCCCCCCCUGCACCAUGUAUGAGUCUUUUCUCUGCUUGGAAAGCAGGAUGGGGCUGUGAGGUAGCACAGUGCGUGCUCUGGUCUCACUCCUAUGUGGACAACAGCAUUCACCUAGUAUGUAUCUCUUUUCCUGGGACCAGGAAGACCUGUUUCUCCAGCCCAUUAACCAUCUCUGGUCCCGCUUGGGAUGGUGAGUUAAAGUCUAUGACUAGAAACCCCUAAAGUAUUUAUUUGACACCUUGACCCUUCCCAGAGCAGAUCCUCAGUCCCCAUACCCAUUGGGUGGCAGGUAGACAGAAUAGUUCAGCAGCUAUUCAUUCUUGUCAUGAAAAUAGGUGCAAUCUCCAGCCAGCGUGCCAAGCCAAUUCAGCUGAAACCUGCACAAUUGCCCUGAGCUGAAUCAAUAGCCCCCAGCUUCAUUGCUGGAACAGGUCACCCGCUUAUCAAGGGAGAGCUGAAAUCAUUCAUAGGAUGCUUGUGGUUUCUCUGUCCUUGUGAUGGCUUUCCUGAACUCUGUCCAAAGCAGAGACAUGUCAUUUAGAUUCUAUUAAAACAAAGCCUUCCAUUAAAGGUGCACGUACGCACACGCAGGGAGAGAAGGAAGGAAGAGAAACGAAGGAGGGAGCUGGGUGUCCUUGAGGUCAUGCAAUCUAACAAAUCACAGCAAAGCCAUUAACACCAUGAAAUGACAGGAGGCAAAACAAGGCAGAAUGUUAAGUGCCCAGUGCUACCAAAUCCAUCAGCUGCCCCCAUUAUUCUGAUGGUGUGUCGGUGCAGCGUAUAAUCAUCGAAAUUGGUAUUCUGCUGCAAAUCAUCCCUCUCCCACUUUCAGUCUAGGAUGAGUUUUGCUGGUCAUGAGGGAUCAAGGAGAAAGCAUCGAGCCCGCUCAUCAGAGUCAUAAGACUUCAAGUGUGAUGCAGUUUUUGGAUCCCUAAGCCCAGAGGUACAUCUUGCUUUCGGGUGGUUGCCAGUAACCCCAUGGUCAUUCCCUGGCUCUCAGAAAGACACCAACAUUGCGAUCUCUACUUGAAACACCUCCAGGGUGCAGGUUGGCAAGAUCCAGGUAGCAGAGUCCAGACCAAGCGUGAUGCUAUUGACAUUUCACAGACAAAAGAGCCAGCAGGUAUCAAAGCUCUCAUCUGAAAGAUGAUGGAGAACAAGCACGUAGCUGACGGGCAUCCGAAAGGACAAUCAUGCCACUUUCAGUUGUGUUCCCCCCACCUUCAAGCCCAGCCACAAGCUAUUCCCAGCCUGCUGUAGGACAUCUGAAGGGUCCAGCAUUAUCAUCAGCAUUUGGGCAACCUGGGCUAGUGCCAGAUCUGGAGGUUGGUGGCCCUGCCUGUGGCAGGGGGAUUAGAACAUGAUGAUCCCUGGGGUCCCUUCCAACCCAAGCCGUUCUAUGAUUCUACAAUCAGGAUGUUUGGGAUAACCCAGUGUCAGUCCUCCAAGCUCUGGUGAAGAUCCUGACCUCCUGCUGAAAAUACAGCAGAGCUCAAUUUAGCUGUGCUCAAGGGUCCUUUCCCUAACAAGACAGAUCAGAAAAGCCAUUUUCUGAUGUUUUUUUUUUUUUCUGAAGUUGAAGGGAGAAAACUCUCCAGCCAAUUGUUUUGUGGGUUUAUUUUAAACUGUUGUGCAUGUCACUCAGUGCCAAGGAUUUCAAAGUGUGUCAUCGCUGAUUUUCCUUUGUCAUUAACUGCCAGGUUUGGGGGGUGGUUCAGAGCUGAGCUGGAGGAAGAUCGGAGGCAAAGCUGACUUGAUUAAGGCCGUGUUUUGAAACCUUUCUGCAUCAUGUUUAAAUCGAUUUUCUUCUGCUUCUAUUCUAAAAGUGGAAGGAAAAAAAAAAAGGAGCUCCAUCCAAGGGAACGUCGAAGGGUACAGAGUUAUUUUCACUGCUGGUAUAAAAAUGAAAAACAUGCAAAGACCAGACUGCAUGAGUGAUGCUAAUAAUGUGCCCAACAACAGAGCCCCACGGAGAUGGACGUUAAUACCUUGAUUCAGUCCUGAGAUGCUUGCAGUACAAAAGCCUCACGCCUGCAAAAUCCUCCUAGGAAAGCCUCUGUGAGGAGACAGUGUGGUGGAAAAAGCAUGCCAAGAACGAUUUGAAACACAAAGAAUGACUGAAGUUGGUCUUGUAGUCAGAGUUUUCUUCCUGGGAAGGGCAGGCUGGGGGAGCAAAUCCUACAAAAUGAAGCAGAAGAAAGAAAGUUUGAAAAAGGCAGCUGUUAUUUUUAUGCCCAGGGGAAAAUUAAGCUGUUUAUCCAAGCUGUGGCUCGUUUUGGAUUUGCUAAGCAAAGCCAGCAGAAUGGCUUGGCAGGUUGGACCUUGGCCUUGGAGCAUCUUGCGGACUGCUUGGUGUUCGAUCGUGGCUUUAUUCCAAUGUCCAGGUGCCUCCUGGAUAACACCUCUACUUGCUGUCCAUGUGUCUGAUCUGACACGUGGUCAUACCUAUGGCCGAAGACCUUUGGAGAGCAGGAGUGGUCUUGAUGGGGAGCUAGAGACCCUCUGUGCCAGCACCUCCAUGGCAGGUGCUAUUACAUACCUCCUACAGCAGGAAAAAUGACGUUAGCAGAGUUUUGCUAUAAAACCGGGGGGAUAAACCCACACCUUUCUAAAAAAUGAGUCCAAAGGCUGCAUUGAGUUGAUUCUUACUGGGAACGGAGGUGUGGCUAGUCAUAAAGUUCAUCCAAUGGUGCUAAGAUUUUCUUGUUCCUCCACUGACUGCAGGGUUAACUGUCUUCUUGUGGUUAAAGGAGAUGCUGGCACCAGACGUUUCCUCAUCUAGACAUUUAGAGGUACCUCUCAGAUCAGCCUUUUUGCAUCAGUGUUAUCUAAAAUGACCUAAGGACUCCCCAGUCUUCAUCCAUUCUCUACUAACCACAGCCAGAAGAGAAGGUUCAAGAAGGAACAGUCACCGUUUGAAGAGAUGAAGAUAAAGGUUCAAGAAGGGACUAUCUGUGGUUGAAGGGAUCAAUGUGAAGGUUCAAGGAGGAACCAUCCUUGGCUGAAGGGAUGAAGUUAAAGGUUCAAGAAGGGACCAUCCUCAAAAAGAUGAAAUAAUAGCUUUCUUUCCAGCCUAGUCCCCAAAGCUGUAUCUGUACAGGUGAACUGAACAGUGGAUGGAACUCAAGCUGCCUAACUGUUACUACCUCCUGGCACGCAUUUGGCCUUCUCAUAGCCCUAUAUAAUCCAUGCGUGGGUCAGUCACUCACACGGCCCACGAAUUGGCUGAUGGGCGCUUUGUUCUGCAGACAGGAGAAUUUAAUAACACAGAUGAAGACAGCUUUGUGCUGUUGGCCUCAGGACCUCCAAAACAUUCCCAAACACAUUUGAUCUAUGAGCACGGACAAACACACGUGAUCUGUGAGUACGGACAUGACCAAAGCUCCUUGCUCUGCAAAGCUUAAGGAUCGUGAAGUGCCUCAUUCACUGGAGGCAGCUUUGGACCGAAACACCUUUUCUCCUUUUUAAUGUAAACCUAAUAAAGACCAAAACGAUCCCUUUAGGAACACAGGACAAGCUUUCUCCACUGCUCCAAACAUUGCUCAAGCUUGCACUACUUCUUCAUUUAUUUCUCUGAGACACAGGAGUGCUCCAUCUCUAAGCUCACUUUGUACUUCACAGUGCUGGGACUUGAAAGACGCUUCUUGAAGAAAUACUCGGAAAUUAGAGAGAUAAGGAGUCAGCUUUAGUCAACACUUCAGUGACAGCACUCAACAGGACCCCAGCCUUUAGCAUGUGUGUAUAAUAUUAUAAAUUUAUUUCUCUCUGUAUAUAUAGAAACGUUGACGCAGUGAAUUAAAAUCAAGCUGUGCUCUGCACUUUCAUUUUUAAUGGGACCAUUCUUGGCUCCAAGGAGGGAGCUAUCAGCCCCCUGAACAGCAGGACGGGAGGGAGAGAGCAAUAGUCUUCUGCCAAAGACAAAUAAAGUGAAAGGAAAGGGGCUGGAAAAUGAUGAAUGGUUCAACUUGCUCGGCUGAAGGAGCCUCUUCAUUAGCCGCUUCACUGCUUUUUUUGCCUCCUUUGUUUGUUUGUUUGGUUUUUUUGUUGUUCCCCCUUUGAAAGUGCCUGCAGCUGUGUGUGUCCAGGAGUGCACUGUCUGUGCGUGGCUGCCUGGUCCCGCUUUGAGCCCCUGUCCCCCCCUCAUCAAUCCCAUUCCAGCACGAAAUGAGAAAAACAAAAGGAAGAUGCUUUCAUACUGACAAUGUCACCUCGUGCUGCAUCCCAGUGGACAAGGACACCCUGAAAAUGGUGCACCUCGAAAUUCAGGCUUCAGCCAAGAAGGACAAUUCCGGUCCCACUGAGUUCUCCAGUAUAUGGAAGCUUUUUAAACAUGGGAGACUCUCCCCUGCCCCUCCGGCAUUCUGCCCUCUGGGGUGAGUGGGCAAGACAAGACACGGGUGGGACAGCAGCAGAUGGUUCCAUUUAACAAAUAAGGGGAACUGAGGCAUGGAGAGAGGCAAUGACUUGCCCAAAAGUAAGGAGAUCUUCAUCGCAAGUGUGGUGGGUGGCAGGACUUCUGAGCACUCUGAUCAAGCUGCAGAUGUUCCUGUUCCUUGCAGGGCAGUUGGACUAGAUGGCCUUUAAAGGUCCAAUUCAAACCAUUCUGUGAUUCCCUGAUUCUAAUCCUGUCCCAGUGUUCUGGCUGGGUCUACCUGUGACCAUCAGGGUUGCCACAAUGGAGAUGAAGCCAGCUGUAGCCUCCUUUCUACAUUUACUUGAUAUUUUUCCCUACACUGUCACUCCUCCUUGGCCACCUCAAGGAGCAGAACACCCCCAAAAUUUGUCAAUGAUUGGACUUAAUGAACUUGGUGGUCUUUUCUAACCUUAAUAAUUCUAUGAUUCUAAACAAGCCCUACCAGACCAGAAGGAUCUUCUUCCCAGGAUCAUGCUGUGCCUGUCAUAUCACCUGGAUGUUUCAUUCCAAGGAGGGCAUCAUGUCAAUAGGAAGAUGUUAAGACACCUCCGUGCACACUCCUACGCUCCCUAUUCAGCCCUGCUUAGAGCAAAAGCAUCCAGAAAGCCCAUAGGCCCCUACUAAUUUCAUAGCAGGCUGGAUCACAAACUCUUAUUUUUGCUGUUUGCAAAGCAGCUGGUGUGCAGGGACCCCAGAAGUGUUGGCAAGAAUGCUAAUGGGGAUGAGACCCAGCAAGAGAAGAGAAGUUGUGCAGGGAAAGAGAUGGCUCACUCAAGGUAACCCAGCUCUGCUUCUCCCUCACUUCAUUUGCACAAGACCUGGAGCAUCUCAUUAUGUGGGAUAUUAUGAAAAAAAUAUUCUCUGAAAGAGUGUAAUGCACCAGCACAGGCUGCCCAGGGAGGUGGUGGGGUCACUGUCCCUGGAGGUGUCCAAGAACUGUGGAGAUGUGGCAUUGAGGGACGUGGUCAGUGGCCGCGGUGGGAUAAGUUGGGGUUGGGCUUGGGGAUCUGAGAGGUCUUCUCCAAAAUUAAUGAUUCUGUGAGUUCUAUGAUCUCAGUGCAGGAGGAAGAAGACUGAUAAAUCAGACCAAAACUGGGGAGAACAUUUGGGUCACUGGUAGGAAGAUGCAAAAAGAUGUUCCUUGGGUCCUCCAUCCCUAGACAGCUGAAGAACAUAGUGGCAAUUAUACAGGACAGAGCAAAGAGCUGAUGCUAGAAUCCAUCAGGAUCAGGCUAAAAUCUGAAAGCAGGUGGGUUUUUUACUCCACGUCCCCCAGCUGCUGUUGGAAAUCAAAUACAGGGCUAGGUGAACCCAUGGGGUGGCUCAUACUGUCUUCCAGCACACUACUGGAAAGCAAGAACAUGAUUGCUCCCUCCAGCAGAGUAAAGCUGUUGAAUUUGAUGUAGACACUUCCUCAUGAGCAAGUCAGGAUGUUUUGUGUUUGCCAUUUCUAUCUUGCAGUCCUGCAAGCUCUCCCACAUGGCAAGCACAACUACCAGUGGAUAAUAAGUGCAAAAGGACUGCUCAAGUUACUCCUCAAGCAUUAGUCAGAGCCUCUCAGUUUCAGCCCUGGGUCAAGUGCUCUCUGAAGGAGGGGAGAGUCAGGACCUUCCCAUAACUACAGCCUCAGGUUCUCCCUGGUGGGGAAACAGCCAGGCUCGACCUUCCAAGAGGUGCAGUGUUUGGUGGACACUGUCCCAAGAGACGUCCAUGCCAAUGUCAAAAAAUGCAGUUGGGCUUAAAGACAGCGUGCUUGCUGGAGUGUUGGUCUGCGCCUUGAAGUGCUUACGGGGACAGAUGUGAUAUUUGAGUUGGACGAUCCAGCAGGAAAAGUGGGACAAGUCCCAGAAGCAUCAAGGGGAUGAAGGUAAAAAAAAAAGAGGGGGGGGGGGGGGGGGGGGGGGCGGGGGUGAGGUUUGAGGUUUUCUUUUCCUUUCUGCUGCCAUUUCCCAAUGAAAAUGAUGAACUUCACGCUCAGUGAGUCAGCAGAGGCAGCUGGUGCCCAGCACAUACUUUUAAAGGGAUCGGAGAUGAUGGGGCUGGAGGGAAGAGAACAAGGAGGAAAAACUGCUCUUGAGGCUCUCCUCCCUGGAAUAUCCCAGUAGCAUUCAGAGGGAAGGCUGAGCACAGGGUUUCUUGGUCUUCUGCUGCCACCUACUGUCAACCCAACACCUCAAAACCCUCUCUGGAUGCAUGAGUUUCUCUAAGAAGGAUGCAAGUCCUGCCCGUCCCAUGGACCACGAGCCACAUAUUAUAGCUGUACGUGCAUCAGGGUGGACAUCAUCCAUUUGCAAUCCCUGUGACCAUCCCAGGUUGGUCAGAGCUAGCAAACAGAUUGUCAUGCCCUGUCCCCAAAUUAUAACCCCUUCGUAUGGUUCUGCACCAGCGUGCCUCGAGGAAAAGCCACUAGUACCUGCUAAGACAUCUCCCAGGGAGAUAAAUGGUCUUUGAGAAGAGUAAAAACAUCAUUUGCUGCUGAGCUAGCACGACCUUGUAGGACCCCUGAGAACAGAAACUGAAGUUUCUAUCAACUGCUUUCCGGCCUGAAUAACCUAAAUUUAGUCCCCAAAUGUGCAUGCCCUGCUUCUUCAAUACUGGUUAACUUUGGCAGCUGUAGAGGUAGAAAUCCCCACUGCUCCCCACUUGAAACAGGAGGAGACAAAUGGAGUGGGAUGGCAUUAAAAGGCAAGACUCCAAGGCAUUGCACCAGCUUGAUGCAAUCACCCAAGUGCCCACCCCAAAGUAAGGUGGCUUUCUGACUGUAGCAUCGACAUCCCUCACUUUGUCAUUAAGCUAAACGGUCCAAGUAAUUAAGAAAAUGUUUUCCAAUCCCUUCAUCAUUGCAGCGACUUCUCCAAACACUCUCCAACUGUUUAACCCUCAUCUAACACCUACACAGAGAAGAUACAGCAGCCCGGUAAUACUGAGGAUAACAAAACACCAGAACAGUUUCCUGAGGGCU
This is a long non-coding RNA of Numida meleagris (helmeted guineafowl), 9076 nucleotides long. RefSeq lists it as uncharacterized. The transcript is spliced from 3 exons. The record is from RefSeq and is a predicted model, not a curated record. Lineage: Eukaryota; Metazoa; Chordata; Aves; Galliformes; Numididae.